CCUACGGGGGGCAGCAGUGGGGAAUAUUGCACAAUGGGGGAAACCCUGAUGCAGCGACGCCGCGUGAGUGAAGAAGUAAUUCGUUAUGUAAAGCUCUAUCAGCAGGGAAGAAAAUGACGGUACCUGAGUCAGAAGCCCCGGCUAACUACGUGCCAGCAGCCGCGGUAAUACGUAGGGGGCAAGCGUUAUCCGGAUUUACUGGGGGUAAAGGGAGCGUAGACGGCAGUGCAAGUCUGGAGUGAAAGGCGGGGGCUCAACCCCCGGACUGCUCUGGAAACUGUACGGCUGGAGUGCAGGAGAGGUAAGUGGAAUUCCUAGUGUAGCGGUGAAAUGCGUAGAUAUUAGGAGGAACACCAGUGGCGAAGGCGGCUUACUGGACUGUAACUGACGUUGAGGCUCGAAAGCGUGGGGAGCAAACAGGAUUAGAUACCCCAGUAGUC
RNAcentral lists this ribosomal RNA (440 nucleotides) under uncultured bacterium. Its description in RNAcentral is "partial 16S ribosomal RNA". It matches the Rfam family "Bacterial small subunit ribosomal RNA", at positions 338 to 795 of the family's 1533-position model. The record is from RNAcentral.